Molecule: ribosomal RNA, 474 nt
Filed under: uncultured bacterium
Lineage: Bacteria
Description: SSU rRNA
Rfam family: Bacterial small subunit ribosomal RNA
Source: RNAcentral
AGGAUGAACGCUGGCGGCGUGCCUAACACAUGCAAGUCGAACGUCCUGUCUCGCAAGAGGCAGGGAGUGGCGGACGGGUGAGUACCACGUGGGUUAUCUACCGUGAGGUGAGGAAUACCGGCGAGAAAUCGCCGACAAGACCGCAUAGCCUCGGUGCAAGCCGAGGAAAGCUUUCUCGAGAGAGGGAGCGCCACACGAGGAGCCUGCGCCCGAUUAGCUAGCUGGUGGAGUAACGGUUCACCAGGGCGACGAUCGGUAGCUGGUCUGAGAGGACGAUCAGCCACACUGGGAUUGAGAACGGCCCAGACUCCUACGGGGGGCAGCAGUGAGGAAUUUUCGUCAAUGGGGGCAACCCUGAACGAGCAACGCCGCGUGCAGGAAGAAGGUUUUCGGAUCGUAAAACUGCUUUUCUCGGGGGAAGAGAACGGACGGUACCCGAGGAAUCAGCCCGGCUAACUACGUGCCAGCAGCCGC